Molecule: unclassified non-coding RNA, 336 nt
Filed under: soil metagenome
Description: partial contains 5.8S ribosomal RNA, internal transcribed spacer 2, and large subunit ribosomal RNA
Rfam family: 5.8S ribosomal RNA (bases 1-120)
Source: RNAcentral
GAUGAAGAACGCAGCGAAAUGCGAUAAGUAAUGUGAAUUGCAGAAUUCAGUGAAUCAUCGAAUCUUUGAACGCACAUUGCGCCCGCCAGUAUACUGGCGGGCAUGCCUGUUCGAGCGUCAUUUCAACCAUCAAGCCCCCGGCUUGUGUUGGGGACCUGCGGCUGCCGCAGGCCCUGAAAAGCAGUGGCGGGCUCGCUGUCACACCGAGCGUAGUAGCAUACAUCUCGCUCUGGGCGUGCUGCGGGUUCCGGCCGUUAAACCACCUUCAUAACCCAAGGUUGACCUCGGAUCAGGUAGGAAGACCCGCUGAACUUAAGCAUAUCAAUAAGCGGAGGA